UACGUAGGCAGCAAGCGGUGUUCGGAAUUACUGGGCGUAAAGGGUGCGUAGGCGGUGCUCUAAGUUUGGUGUGAAAUCUCCCGGCUUAACUGGGAGGGUGCGCCGAAAACUGGAGCGCUUGAGUGCGGGAGAGGAAAGCGGAAUUCCUGGUGUAGCGGUGAAAUGCGUAGAGAUCAGGAGGAACACCUGCGGUGUAGACGGCUUUCUGGACCGUAACUGACGCUGAGGCACGAAAGCGUGGGUAGCAAACAGG
Molecule: ribosomal RNA, 253 nt
Filed under: uncultured bacterium
Lineage: Bacteria
Description: partial 16S ribosomal RNA
Rfam family: Bacterial small subunit ribosomal RNA
Source: RNAcentral